Molecule: ribosomal RNA, 606 nt
Filed under: Salmonella enterica
Lineage: Bacteria; Pseudomonadati; Pseudomonadota; Gammaproteobacteria; Enterobacterales; Enterobacteriaceae
Description: partial 23S ribosomal RNA
Source: RNAcentral
UGUGUGAGCUCGAUGAGUAGGGCGGGACACGUGGUAUCCUGUCUGAAUAUGGGGGGACCAUCCUCCAAGGCUAAAUACUCCUGACUGACCGAUAGUGAACCAGUACCGUGAGGGAAAGGCGAAAAGAACCCCGGCGAGGGGAGUGAAAAAGAACCUGAAACCGUGUACGUACAAGCAGUGGGAGCCCCACCACUAAGCCAGUGGUGAACUCCACAUACGCAUCCUUUGCUGAGGAUACGGUUAACGGAGCGAAAGCGACGUUCAACCGCAAAAGAAGCAGAGGGGGCUUAGUGGUGGGGUGACUGCGUACCUUUUGUAUAAUGGGUCAGCGACUUAUAUUCUGUAGCAAGGUUAACCGMAUAGGGGAGCCGGAGGGAAACCGAGUCUUAAYUGGGCGUUAAGUUGCAGGGUAUAGACCCGAAACCCGGUGAUCUAGCCAUGGGCAGGUUGAAGGUUGGGUAACACUAACUGGAGGACCGAACCGACUAAUGUUGAAAAAUUAGCGGAUGACCUGUGGCUGGGGGUGAAAGGCCAAUCAAACCGGGAGAUAGCUGGUUCUCCCCGAAAGCUAUUUAGGUAGCGCCUCGUGAAUUCAUCUCCGGGGGU